CGCGGUGAUACGGAGGGUGCAAGCGUUAAUCGGAAUUACUGGGCGUAAAGCGCACGCAGGCGGUUUGUUAAGUCAGAUGUGAAAUCCCCGCGCUUAACGUGGGAACUGCAUUUGAAACUGGCAAGCUAGAGUCUUGUAGAGGGGGGUAGAAUUCCAGGUGUAGCGGUGAAAUGCGUAGAGAUCUGGAGGAAUACCGGUGGCGAAGGCGGCCCCCUGGACAAAGUCUGACGCUCAGGUGCGAAAGCGUGGGGAGCAAACAGGAUUAGAUACCCUGGUAGUCCACGCUGUAAACGAUGUCGACUUGGAGGUUGUGCCCUUGAGGCGUGGCUUCCGGAGCUAACGCGUUAAGUCGACCGCCUGGGGAGUACGGCCGCAAGGUUAAAACUCAAAUGAAUUGACGGGGGCCCGCACAAGCGGUGGAGCAUGUGGUUUAAUUCGAUGCAACGCGAAGAACCUUACCUACUCUUGACAUCCACGGAAUUCGCCAGAGAUGGCUUAGUGCCUUCGGGAACCGUGAGACAGGUGCUGCAUGGCUGUCGUCAGCUCGUGUUGUGAAAUGUUGGGUUAAGUCCCGCAACGAGCGCAACCCUUAUCCUUUGUUGCCAGCACGUAAUGGUGGGAACUCAAAGGAGACUGCCGGUGAUAAACCGGAGGAAGGUGGGGGUGACGUCAAGUCAUCAUGGCCCUUACGAGUAGGGCUACACACGUGCUACAAUGGCAUAUACAAAGAGAAGCGAACUCGCGAGAGCAAGCGGACCUCAUAAAGUAUGUCGUAGUCCGGAUUGGAGUCUGCAACUCGACUCCAUGAAGUCGGAAUCGCUAGUAAUCGUAGAUCAGAAUGCUACGGUGAAUACGUUCCCGGGCCUUGUACACACCGCCCGUCACACCAUGGGAGUGGGUUGCAAAAGAAGUAGGUAGCUUAACCUUCGGGAGGGCGCUUACCACUUUGUGAUUCAUG
Molecule: ribosomal RNA, 958 nt
Filed under: uncultured bacterium
Lineage: Bacteria
Description: bacterial SSU rRNA
Rfam family: Bacterial small subunit ribosomal RNA
Source: RNAcentral